CGAUGGAGGGGGAUAACUACUGGAAACGGUAGCCAAUACCGCAUAACGUCGCAAGACCAAAGAGGGGACCUUCGGGCCUCUUGCCAUCGGAUGUGCCCAGAUGGGAUUAGCUAGUAGGUGGGGUAACGGCUCACCUAGGCGACGAUCCCUAGCUGGUCUGAGAGGAUGACCAGCCACACUGGAACUGAGACACGGUCCAG
RNAcentral lists this ribosomal RNA (200 nucleotides) under uncultured bacterium. Its description in RNAcentral is "partial 16S ribosomal RNA". It matches the Rfam family "Bacterial small subunit ribosomal RNA", at positions 131 to 334 of the family's 1533-position model. The record is from RNAcentral.